RNAcentral lists this ribosomal RNA (1144 nucleotides) under uncultured methanogenic archaeon. RNAcentral describes it as "bacterial SSU rRNA". It matches the Rfam family "Archaeal small subunit ribosomal RNA", at positions 123 to 1271 of the family's 1478-position model. The record is from RNAcentral. Lineage: Archaea; Methanobacteriati; Methanobacteriota.
GGGAUAACCUCGGGAAACUGAGAAUAAUACUCCAUAGAUCUAGGAUGCUGGAAUGCUUUUAGGUCGAAAACUCCGGUGCCUUAGGAUUGGUCUGCGGCGUAUCAGGUUGUAGUGGGUGUAACGGACCCACUAGCCGAUGACGCGUAUGGGCCUUGAGAGAGGAAGCCCAGAGAUGGACUCUGAGACAUGAGUCCAGGCCCUACGGGGCGCAGCAGUCGCGAAAACUUCACAAUGGGGGCAACCCCGAUGAGGGAAUUCCAAGUGCUAGCACUUUUUGUGUUAGCUGUUCUUUUGUCUAAAAAACAAGAGAAGUAAGGGCCGGGUAAGACGGGUGCCAGCCGCCGCGGUAAUACCCGCGGCCCGAGUGGUGGUCGAUAUUAUUGAGCCUAAAACGUUCGUAGCCGGUCUUGUAAAUCCUUGGGUAAAUCGGCCAGCUUAACUGUCCGAAGUCCGGGGAGACUGCAAGACUUGGGAUCGGGAGAGGUCAGAGGUACUUCUGGGGUAGGGGUAAAAUCCUGUAAUCCUAGAAGGACCACCGGUGACGAAGGCGUCUGACUAGAACGAAUUCGACGGUGAGGAACGAAGCCCUGGGCGCAAACGGGAUUAGAUACCCCGGUAGUCCAGGGUGUAAACGCUGCGGGCUUGGUGUUGGGGGUCCUUAGUGGGCGCCCAGUGCCGGAGAGAAGUUGUUAAGCCUGCUGCUUGGGGAGUACGUCCGCAAGGAUGAAACUUAAAGGAAUUGGCGGGGGAGCACCGCAACGGGAGGAGCGUGCGGUUCAAUUGGAUUCAACGCCGGACAACUCACCAGGAGCGACGAUUACAUGAAGGCCAGGUUGAUGACCUUGCCUGAUUUUUCGAGAGGUGGUGCAUGGCCGUCGUCAGUUCGUACUGUAAAGCGUUCUCUUAAGUGAGAUAACGAACGAGACCCUCACUAAUAAUUGCUAGCGUUUUCUCUGGAAGGCGCGCACAUUAUUGGGACCGCUGUCGCUAAGACAGAGGAAGGAGAGGUCAACGGUAGGUCCGUAUGCCCCGAAUCUCCUGGGCUACACGCGCGCUACAAAGGACGGGACAAUGGGUUCCGAUAUCGAAAGGUAAAGGCAAUCCCGAAACCCGUUCGUAGUUCGGAUCGUGGGCUGUAACUCGC